Non-coding RNA from Biomphalaria pfeifferi, 299 nucleotides. The record is from the annotation of a GenBank genome assembly. NCBI's taxonomy places the organism in Eukaryota, Metazoa, Mollusca, Gastropoda, Planorbidae.
UUCAAUAAAUAGAUCAAGAAGUGACUGAAGUGUUGAUAAAUAGAGGUCUAUAUUAUAUAUUAUUAAAAUUAUAAAAUUAUAGAUCUAAUUGUGAGAUUUAGAUUAGGUUAAGACUUUAGAUUUAGAUUAGAGAUAUAAAAUUUGUACAGUCGUUGUUAUGUUAUAGAAUAUUAUAGGUCUAGUCAAAGCUAGAUUAGAUCUCUCUGUAUCUAGUAGUAGUAGUAUAACUAAAGACUCCAGAGAUUGAAAUCUAGACGAUCAAAAUGUAAUCUACUUGAAUCAAGCUUUAUCCUGUUACC